CUCGAAUACCGCUCCUAAUCGCACAGUCCAUCUUCGCAAUGCAUACUAUCAUAUGAGUUGUUUGUUUGUGUACUGUGUCUGUGUCCCUCUCUUUCUCUCUCAAAAAUCUCUGCUACUUUUCUUCGUCUCUACGUUGAUUGGAUCUAGGGUUUCUGUAGCCCAAUUUCCGAUUUAAUCAAUCGCAAUUUCUCUCUCUAGCCUUUUUCUUUUCGUUCCAACUCCGCCCUCUCGGUGCAAAGCUAGAAGGAGAUAAUCAAUUCUCUACCUUUUUACAUUCAUUCUAGCCAUUCUGUUACGCGGACACCCAAAGUUUUGCUCCUUACCUAAUCUCUGAUCAGGUUAUGGAAGCAUAGAUAUACGACAUUGACAAAGUUGUUUUGUAGAAGCCAUGGGGACUGAAAACCCUGGUCGACCUAAUUUUCCUAUGGCAUCUUCCACUACACCAUUUGCUGCUGUUCCUCCAACUAUGUCACCAUUUUCAUCAUCUGGUCCUGUGGUUGGUUCAGAGGCCCCUGGUUUUAGAGCUACCCCAUCAGCGUUUCCUCAAACUACAAUACCUUCGACACUAUCUGGGCCUGCAGGUGGACCACAGACCUCUGGCUUUAGACCUGCUUCCCCGGCAUCAUACAUACCUUCUACUGUUGGACCCUUCCAGCGUUUCCCGGCUCCACAAUUUCCUACUACACCUCAACCUUCCCCUGCUGGAGCUCCUUCUGCUGGGCAACAAUCAUUUCAACCUUCUGCUGGUCAGGUAUCAUCUCCACUUAUAUUUCGCCCACAGCCACCACAUAUGCCUUCAGUGCCAAUGGGAUCUCCUCCCCCUUCAAAUGUGAACGUUCCUCAAUCUUCAUCAGAUUCAUCCUUUUUUGCUUCAAGGCCCAAUUUUCAGCCAUCUUUUCCUCCAGCAGAUUCGUCUUAUCCUCCUGCUAGAGCCACUUUGCAGCCACCUUUACCUGGAUACAUAAAGCAGUCGACUGCAGUUUCACAAGCCCCUCCUAUACAGUCCCCUUUUGAAGCUCAACAAGGAAGUUACAUACCUCCUGCACCAACACCAUCUCCCCCUUUUCCUUCUCACCGAGGAGGUUUUGGUCAACCUCCAUCAGUUGCUGCCCCUUAUGGCUUGCAUUCAAAGGACCAAUUCCAACAGCCAGGCUCCAUACCUCCCAUAGGUGGCAUCCAAGGUUUGUUGGAAGAUUUCAGUUCACUGUCAGUUGGAUCUAUGCCAGGAUCAAUAGAGCCUGGACUUGAUCCAAAAGCUUUGCCAAGGCCUUUGGAUGGUGAUGUGGAGCCAACUCCAUUACCUGAAGCAUACUCUAUGAAUUGUGAUCCUAGAUAUCUUCGGCUUACCACUAGUGCUAUACCAAAUUCUCAGUCUUUGGUUUCAAGGUGGCAUUUACCUCUUGGAGCAGUUGUUUGUCCUCUUGCAGAAGCUCCAGAUGGGGAGGAGGUGCCGGUACUCAAUUUUGUUUCAACUGGCAUUAUUCGUUGUAGGAGAUGUCGUACAUAUGUGAAUCCAUAUGUAACCUUUACAGAUGCUGGAAGAAAGUGGCGUUGCAACAUCUGUUCUCUACUUAAUGAUGUUCCUGGUGAGUAUUUUGCCCAUUUAGAUGCCACUGGUAGAAGAGUUGAUUUGGAUCAGCGA
RNAcentral lists this unclassified non-coding RNA (1642 nucleotides) under Hevea brasiliensis (rubber tree). Lineage: Eukaryota; Viridiplantae; Streptophyta; Magnoliopsida; Malpighiales; Euphorbiaceae. The record is from RNAcentral.